GUCGAGAUAUUUCGCCCAAUAGUGAAAAAUGGUUGUUAAUUUGUUUGCUGAAGACCAACCAAGAGGAGGCAGCGGUGGAUAAAAAAAGUGAUGAGAGCAGAGAUGUUUUGAUUGAUGUGCUCCAUCAUUCAACGUCCGUUCUUCUCCACAGCGUCAAGAACCAGUGUUUGUGUGUUUGUGCACAUCAAGUAAAGAUAAGGCAGUAAUGAUGACUGACGGGCCCUACUGCCACCUGGCGGACAAAUACAAGACUGCAGAGAUUGAACUGCAAGAGAUGGAGCUGUAAUUUGAGAAACUGGCCACCAGCUGGCGCGCACACACAACAUAGGCAACGCUUUAUCUGGCACAAGACAGUGGACAGGCAGGUCUUGGCUGCAAUGAGUAAACUACCAACGCCAGAGCCCAGCUGGUGCUGAACAGACCCUCAGCCACACGCCUUUCGAGUGGGCCAUGAAAUGUGGCUUGUUCUUAUUUAAUCCCAUGUGUCUGAAGUUACUGAACAUAAACUGUCCUACUGCCAGUGCACCCCAUGAACCAGGCAGACCUCAGUCCGAG
RNAcentral lists this long non-coding RNA (555 nucleotides) under Danio rerio (zebrafish). RNAcentral's name for it is "lncRNA si:dkey-110g7.9 (ENSDARG00000097087.2)". Lineage: Eukaryota; Metazoa; Chordata; Actinopteri; Cypriniformes; Danionidae. The record is from RNAcentral.